UUACCUACGGGGGGCAGCAGUGGGGAAUAUUGCACAAUGGGGGGAACCCUGAUGCAGCAACGCCGCGUGGGUGAAGAAGUACUUCGGUAUGUAAAGCCCUGUCAGCAGGGAAGAAAAUGACGGUACCUGACCAAGAAGCCCCGGCUAACUACGUGCCAGCAGCCGCGGUAAUACGUAGGGGGCAAGCGUUAUCCGGAUUUACUGGGUGUAAAGGGAGCGUAGACGGCAAGGCAAGUCUGGAGUGAAAGCCCGUGGCUCAACCACGGGACUGCUUUGGAAACUGUGUUGCUGGAGUGCAGGAGGGG
RNAcentral lists this ribosomal RNA (305 nucleotides) under uncultured bacterium. RNAcentral describes it as "bacterial SSU rRNA". It matches the Rfam family "Bacterial small subunit ribosomal RNA", at positions 335 to 657 of the family's 1533-position model. The record is from RNAcentral.